GGGUCAGUAGGCUGGUCGUGCCACCGGUACGUACUGGUCUCACCGAUUCCUCCUCCCUGAAGAACCGUAAUGCCAUUAAUUUGGUGUUGCGGGGAAACAGGACUGUUACUUUGAAAAAAUUAGAGUGUUUAAAGUAAGCUAACGCUUGAAUACAUUAGCAUGGAAUAAUGAAAUAGGACGAUCGAUCCUAUUUUGUUGGUUUCUAGGAUUGACGUA
This 216-nucleotide ribosomal RNA is filed under the name Glomeromycotina sp. RNAcentral's name for it is "partial small subunit ribosomal RNA". The stretch from base 87 to 216 matches the Rfam family "Eukaryotic small subunit ribosomal RNA", at positions 733 to 864 of the family's 1831-position model. The record is from RNAcentral. Lineage: Eukaryota; Fungi; Glomeromycota.